CCGAGUUGCAAAACUCCCAAACCCAUUGUGAACCAAUACCACUGUUGCUUCGGCGGACACGCCCCGGGCGCACCUCCUCACGGGGGCGUGCCCCGGAACCAGGCGCCCGCCGGGGGACCGAAACCUCUGUAUUUACCAUUUGAGUACUCUGAGUGUGAUUUACAAAAUCAAAAUUA
RNAcentral lists this unclassified non-coding RNA (176 nucleotides) under uncultured Gliomastix. Its description in RNAcentral is "sequence contains ITS1". The record is from RNAcentral. Lineage: Eukaryota; Fungi; Ascomycota; Sordariomycetes; Hypocreales; Bionectriaceae.